UAUUAGACUUGCUCCAAGUCUCUCUUUCAUUGUCAUAUAGUAUCGGUCCACUGUAUCAUGUAAUGUACACUAUAGUGGGUCGAUAUGACAUUGAAAGUGAGACUUGGAGCAAGUCUAUUG
Paramuricea clavata is the source of this 120-nucleotide non-coding RNA. Lineage: Eukaryota; Metazoa; Cnidaria; Anthozoa; Malacalcyonacea; Plexauridae. The record is from the annotation of a GenBank genome assembly.